UUAGGAAUCUUGCGCAAUGGGCGAAAGCCUGACGCAGCGACGCCGCGUGAGCGAUGAAGUCUUUCGGGAUGUAAAGCUCUGUCCUGCGGGGAAGAAGAAUGUGACGGUACCCGCAGAGAAAGCCCCGGCUAACUACGUGCCAGCAGCCGCGGUAAUACGUAGGGGGCGAGCGUUGUCCGAAUUUACUGGGCGUAAAGCGCGUGUAGGCGGUUCUUUAAGUCAGAUGUGAAAUCCUGUGGCUCAACCACAGAACUGCAUUUGAAACUGAAGGGCUUGAGUGUGGGAGAGGAAAGUGGAAUUCCUGGUGUAGCGGUGAAAUGCGUAGAUAUCAGGAGGAACACCCGUGGCGAAGGCGGCUUUCUGGCCCACCACUGACGCUGAGACGCGAAAGCUAGGGGAGCGAACGGG
RNAcentral lists this ribosomal RNA (408 nucleotides) under uncultured bacterium. RNAcentral describes it as "bacterial SSU rRNA". It matches the Rfam family "Bacterial small subunit ribosomal RNA", at positions 355 to 776 of the family's 1533-position model. The record is from RNAcentral.